UGGCCACAGAACAAGACAGGACUGCCCAUGAUCUCUCUUUUUUUUAAAUUUAUUAUAGAUAUGUUGUUAUAAUUUAUCAGUGAAGGAAUUACAUGUAAAAACUUUAGCAAUCAGGCACCUAGUAUCAUGCCCAUGUAAUUGCAAACAAGGAGGAAGCAGGACUCGAAUGCAGCAGUAAAGAUACUCAGGAUUACAGGAUCAAAUGAACAAAACAACUACAUAUGCGUAUCAAAUUACAGACAACUGAACCAACAGAAACACAGGGCUUAAAUUCACAGAUACUAAUCAAAGUAACGAGACAUCUGACAUGGGAACUGAUAAACAACAGGUGAUAGGAAUCAAACAAUCAGACAUACUGGGAAACUGGAUCAAAUUAAGAGGAACACAGGCAAACAUGAGCUGAAACUAAUAACAAGGCACAAACAAAACAAGAACACAAUGAAAAUUAGACUAGAAACACAAUGUUUGGUGUCUUUGCUGCUGUUAAAGGUUUCAAACUGAUUUCAGGCUUUCUAAACCAACAAGAGCAUUAAUCAGUGUAAAAUCUGUUUGUUCUCCAGGUGUGUUUGGUGACUCAGUGUCAGUGAUAAUAACAUAAUAACAAUCCCAUCAGCAACCAGACUCAACAACUGGACAUCACUCAACUCUGUUACACAUGUCCAGAUCAAGGCCUACCUUUAAUGUACAUAGUGCUGAUCUCUGCUGCUGCUGCUGCUGGAUCUCUGUUGAUUGAAUCUGCAGGAAAUGUAGAAAAACAGUUGAAACCCAGGAGGAAGACAGAACUGAUUCAGCAUUGUUUCAACAAGCAAGUUGUAAGAAGUUGUUGCAGUCAGUUAGCGUGAUUGAAGAUUACAGCUACAGACGUGGGUUUAUCGACUCCAGCA
Megalobrama amblycephala (Wuchang bream) is the source of this 884-nucleotide long non-coding RNA. RefSeq lists it as uncharacterized. NCBI's taxonomy places the organism in Eukaryota, Metazoa, Chordata, Actinopteri, Cypriniformes, Xenocyprididae. The record is from RefSeq and is a predicted model, not a curated record. The transcript has 3 exons.